CCUACGGGCGGCAGCAGUGAGGAAUAUUGGUCAAUGGCCGGAAGGCUGAACCAGCCAAGCCGCGUGAAGGACGAAGGUGCCAAGCAUUGUAAACUUCUUUUGUCAAGGGACAAAAUCAGGCUCGAGAGCCUGACCGAGGGUCCUUGAAGAAAAAGCAUCGGCUAACUCCGUGCCAGCAGCCGCGGUCAUACGGAGGAUGCGAGCUUUAUCCGGAUGUAUUGGGUUUAAGGGGUACGUAGGCGUACUGUUAAGGCAGCGGUAAAAGCCCGGGGCUCAACCCCGGCGAGCCGUUGAAACUGGCUGUCUUGAGAUGGCGAGAGGUAUGCGGAAUGCGCAGUGUAGCGGGGAAAUGCUUAGAUAUUGCGCAGAACUCCGAUUGCGAAGGCAGCAUACCGGCGGCGAUCUGACGCUGAGGCACGAAAGCGUGGGUAUCGAACAGGAUUAGAUACCCGUGUAGUC
This 459-nucleotide ribosomal RNA is filed under the name uncultured bacterium. RNAcentral describes it as "partial 16S ribosomal RNA". It matches the Rfam family "Bacterial small subunit ribosomal RNA", at positions 338 to 795 of the family's 1533-position model. The record is from RNAcentral.